GGAAUUGCAUUAUCUAAUUACAAUUAUGUUACAAUUAAAACAGAUUAUAUGUAAAUUUUAAACUGUGCAUAAAAUUAUAGUUCCUGUUCCUAUCCGAAUCUCAAUAUCGUUUCUUUCAAUUCUGCAAAUUUCGUCUUGAUAGUUCGUCUGUAUGGAUUGCUGCUUUCUCCCCUCACUUGAUGGAAAAAUACUUCUCUGACUCCAGAUCUCAUGUCUCACCUAAUUGAUAUGUCUUCUCCCGUCUCUUUCUGUUCGAUGAUACAAUUGGCCUUGUGUAAGAUGGAACUGCUGUCUCACACUUAGUUGUCUUUUGCAGUGUUGCUUUCAGUCUCGAUGCUGAUGUGUUUGGUCGGCCAGUAUAGUCAUACUUUUUCGAUUGUAACGAACUGGUGUGUUCAAUAUAUUAUUAUUAUUAAAAUUACCUAAAUUAGUGAGAUUUAUUAUCGUUCUGCAUGCUCCCAAUAUAGGGCUUUUCAGAAUGCAUUUCCAAAUCACAACUGAUGUUUAAUUAACUUAAAAACUAUUACUCUCUAUAAACUAAUUACUCCGCCUUAGAUCGGUGUGAUAUCCUGCAUAUCUGUAUCCAAGGAGGAGCAUUGGAUAGCAAAACAAAGUCACGAGUUCGAUUCCCAUCGCGGUCAAGCAAACUUUUCAGGUUGCCCGAUGUGGACACACUCCGAGACAACAUCACCGACAUAAUUAUUUUAAUUUUUGUAUGUUUAAAAUUGUGUAUACACAUGAGAACUAUCAAUAAAAAAACCCAUUGAAUAAACCGUUGUGUAUGUAAUCAGUUUUGUCAGAAUGGAAUGAAGCCAUUGGCAGCCAACUGUACACAUUGGAGUACUUUCAUUACUUAAAGGAAACUGGUAGCAUUUUCGAUUUUUUAAAAUAAAUAUAGAAUAUUCACUUGAAGUUUCUUAGUGUGCAUUAUUGACUAACAUUCUGUAAAACUUCACCAUUUUACUGUGUAUAGAGCCACUAGUUUAUCAGUUUUACUUAUAUUACUGUCAAAGUGUUGCCCUCUUCAAAUAAAGUCGCAAACCAAACUGUGUGAUAUACUGCUUGGGCUUCGAGCAGUUUCAGAUUUUCACCUCAGAGCUUAAAAGUAAAACUUCAGUCAACUAAUGUUGUCAACUAAAACCAUAUCUGAUUAAAACCAAACUCUUGUUUUGUAAUGAUUAUUUCUUCGUUUCUUUCUACCUCGUACACUGCUUUAUUUUCCGU
Molecule: non-coding RNA, 1224 nt
Organism: Paramuricea clavata
Lineage: Eukaryota; Metazoa; Cnidaria; Anthozoa; Malacalcyonacea; Plexauridae
Source: the annotation of a GenBank genome assembly